GGAGUGUGUAAUUGUGGCUCAGUGAUAGAGCAUCUAUGCAGCAUGCAGAAGGCCCCAGGUUCAAUCCCUGGCAUCUCCA
RNAcentral lists this transfer RNA (79 nucleotides) under Sphaerodactylus townsendi. RNAcentral describes it as "tRNA-Ala". It matches the Rfam family "tRNA". Rfam says of the family: Transfer RNA (tRNA) molecules are approximately 80 nucleotides in length. Their secondary structure includes four short double-helical elements and three loops (D, anti-codon, and T loops). Lineage: Eukaryota; Metazoa; Chordata; Lepidosauria; Squamata; Sphaerodactylidae. The record is from RNAcentral.